GCGAGAGAGUAAGACGGGUGUCGGGUCGCGAUUGUGGAUUGGAAUCCUGGAUUUUUGGCACCGAAAAUAGUCGUGCGCGCGCGCCGAGGCGGUCUUACAAGUCGCGCCAGCCAGUGCGAGUCGCUCCGCCGCGUGAACAACCCGUCCGUGAGGUCCGUAGGCGUUUUUUUUCGACAGACCAGUUCCCAAACAAGCCGCCAAGAUGGACGCGAUCAAGAAGAAGAUGCAAGCGAUGAAGCUGGAGAAGGACAACGCCAUGGACAAGGCGGACACCUGCGAGCAGGCCGCGCGCGACGCCAACCUGCGCGCAGACAAGGUGAACGAGGAAGUCCGCGAGCUGCAGAAGAAGCUGCAACAGGUCGAGGAGGACCUGAUCCGCAACAAGAACACCCUGGAACAGACCACCAAGGACCUGGAAGAGCGCGAGAAACAGUUGACGGCCACCGAGGCCGACGUGGCGUCGCUCAACAGGAAGGUGCAGCAGAUUGAGGAGGACCUGGAGAAGUCUGAGGAGAGGUCCGGGACCGCGCAGCAGAAGCUGCUGGAGGCCCAGCAGUCCGCUGAUGAGAACAACCGUAUGUGCAAAGUGAUGGAGAACCGCGCGCAGCAGGACGAGGAGCGCAUGGACCAGCUCACCAACCAGCUCAAGGAGGCCCGCCUCAUCGCCGAGGACGCUGACGGCAAGUCUGACGAGGUGUCCCGCAAGCUGGCCUUCGUUGAAGACGAGCUGGAGGUGGCCGAGGACCGCGUCAAGUCCGGAGACUCCAAGAUCGGAGAGCUCGAGGAGGAACUGAAAGUAGUAGGAAACUCGCUGAAAUCCCUGGAAGUGUCCGAGGAGAAGGCGAACCAGCGCGUGGAGGAGUUCAAGAAGCAGCUCAAGUCGCUCACCACCAAGCUGAAGGAGGCCGAGGCGCGCGCCGAGUUCGCCGAGAAGACUGUCAAGAAACUACAGAAGGAGGUCGACAGGCUCGAAGACGCAUUGUUCAACGAAAAGGAGAAAUACAAGGCGAUAUGCGAUGACCUCGACGGAACAUUCGCAGAGUUGACAGGAUACUAACCCACCCCCUCACCGCACCUAGCAUACGACGAUACCGUCCAUAUCACCAUCACCUUAAAGCCCAUUCUCGAAUGCAACUCCAACGGCCACAAACGACCUUCUCGACUCAAUCGUCUUUUCUCCAUUACAACUUUUUAUACCAUACAUCUCCCCAAAACGAUACAAACCGCUUAUACCUCUUAUCAUUAAGCCCUAUACAACUUACGUAUCGUCUAAGGAUCUUAUGUUACUAAAACCUUUUUAUACUUACCGACGUUACAGAAUUUGCUUCAAUACACAUCUUUACUUACGAUAUAUUGUAGAUAGUUUAUUUAUUUGUACAGUCAGCAGCUAAACCCCAUCACUCGAGAUGGGUGAACUAUGCGACGUUCUAUCUGAUUGCGUUGCUGACUGUACUCCCUAGUUAUAAGCCCUGCUUUAUGUAUGUUGUGAAUAACACGUCUUUCGCUUUGCUGCUACCGCCGCGGACCAAAGCUUCGAAGACGAGCUGGGCAUCAACAAGGACCGCUACAAGAGCUUGGCCGACGAGAUGGACUCCACCUUCGCCGAGCUGGCCGGCUACUAGACUCCUGCACUCCACACACACACACAUACACACACAGCAGCACACACACCUACACGCUGCAUCAACAACAUGUUACUAUACAAUACAAUUGUACACGUGAUGUAAUACUAUUUAUUUAUUAAUUUAUGUAAAUUUAUUUACGAUUUUCAGUAAUAAAACUUAAUUUAUAACAUCCUUUGUUCGUUCAUUGUUUGGUUG
This is an RNA transcript of Plutella xylostella (diamondback moth), 1820 nucleotides long. It is a transcript of the gene named tropomyosin 2, with no coding region annotated. NCBI's taxonomy places the organism in Eukaryota, Metazoa, Arthropoda, Insecta, Lepidoptera, Plutellidae. The record is from RefSeq and is a predicted model, not a curated record.